RNAcentral lists this ribosomal RNA (253 nucleotides) under uncultured bacterium. RNAcentral's name for it is "partial 16S ribosomal RNA". It matches the Rfam family "Bacterial small subunit ribosomal RNA", at positions 524 to 776 of the family's 1533-position model. The record is from RNAcentral.
UACGGAGGAUGCAAGCGUUAUCCGGAAUUAUUGGGCGUAAAGCGUCCGCAGGUGGUCAGACAAGUCUGCCGUUAAAGCGUGGAGCUUAACUCCAUAAAGGCGGUGGAAACUGUCAGACUAGAGUUCGGUAGGGGUAGCAGGAAUUCCCAGUGUAGCGGUGAAAUGCGUAGAGAUUGGGAAGAACAUCGGUGGCGAAGGCGUGCUACUGGGCCGAAACUGACACUCAGGGACGAAAGCUAGGGGAGCGAAAGGG